GCUUACCCACACCGGCCUGAGUACGCCUGAUCUCGUCUGAUCUCGGAAGCUAAGCAGGGUCGGCCUGGUUAGUACUUGGAUGGGAGACCGCCUGGGAAUACCAGUGCUGUAAGCU
RNAcentral lists this ribosomal RNA (115 nucleotides) under Oncorhynchus kisutch (coho salmon). Lineage: Eukaryota; Metazoa; Chordata; Actinopteri; Salmoniformes; Salmonidae. The record is from RNAcentral.